Molecule: non-coding RNA, 61 nt
Filed under: Thermobrachium celere
Lineage: Bacteria; Bacillati; Bacillota; Clostridia; Eubacteriales; Clostridiaceae
Also listed under: 1 other name
Description: Fluoride sequence
Rfam family: Fluoride riboswitch aptamer (crcB RNA motif)
Source: RNAcentral
AUAAACUAAGGUGAUGGAGUUCACCUUUAACCGCCUUUUGGCUAAUGACUCCUACAGAUAA